This 1314-nucleotide long non-coding RNA is filed under the name Monodelphis domestica (gray short-tailed opossum). RNAcentral describes it as "lncRNA (ENSMODG00000041609.1)". Lineage: Eukaryota; Metazoa; Chordata; Mammalia; Didelphimorphia; Didelphidae. The record is from RNAcentral.
AUGUCACAGAAUACAAGUGAUCCUGUGUCCCUGGAGAUUACUAGAGAGCAGAAGCUUAAGAAAAUUCACCCAAGCUGCAAAGACUUCAAGUACAAACCCUGUGAUGGAUUGUGUGUUGGUUACCUAAGGAGCAUCCUAGUUACACUAGGAAAGGCUUGUCACCAGAAGGCUGGCCACCAGCUGUUGAUUUUUUUUUUUUUGCCACAACAGUUCAUGAAGACUACAGAGGCAUGGAUGGGUUGUAAUCUACAUCUGUGGAGUACCCACACCAAUGAAAUUAUGAUUCUUUUUGAAGUUUUGAAGGAAGGUAAAAAUUUGAACACGAUCCAGGCUUCAGUGGUUGCAGUGGAUAAGAAGUUUAAAAGCUUUGGUUCAAGAAAAUUUAAAGACAUGGAAGUAAGGAUCCAGUGACAGGACGCUAUUCUCCCUGGGAAUUCUGAAGACUAUAAAGCGUUGAAAAAUCGAAUUCAUGAUCCUGGAACUCGAGCUCAUAUUAAGAAAUGUCAGGUUGGUAGGGGUUCCUGAAGUUUGUAAAUAGGCUAAGCUAUAUCUUUUCAGAAUUCAUUAAGAAGUUAGCAUUUGGGAAUGGGUGCUUUAAAUUUUUUCAUUUACAUUUUGUAAUCAUACUGCAGAUAGUAGAAAAUGAUAAUAGGUACAGUCCUAUUAAUGUUUUAUCAAAGUUGUUGGGACUUAAGAGAUUUUUUCCCCCUCCCUUCAUUAUACCAUUUUCUUUGCUAUUUAAAGAUUUCUUCUAACUAAAAGUAUUAAUCCAGUGAGUUUGGGGCAUAAUUUUGUGAGUUCUUCAUGACUUGCAGGGGGGAAAUUUCCAUUAUGUACCUACAUAUACUUUCUCCAAAAGAAUUGUUACAUAAUAGGAUGGUAACUGGGCAAAGUUAACAUUUUUUUAAUGUAUACUUUCUACCUUAAUGUCAUUAUUGUUGACUAUAUCUACAUGCCAUUUUAUCCAUAUUAAAUUUUUGCAUAUUUAAAAGAUGGGCUUGUGGAGGCUUGAAUUGAAGAUGUCUCAGGCUUAGUUUGAGGCAUUCAGUAGCCAGAUUAUCUUAAUUCAGGAUAAGUAGGAAUUCCUGAACCCAAAUAUGGUCAGUGACUAGAAAUGGAAUAUUCUAGAAUCAUCUUGCUGAGCUUUGGAGGAGAGAGUGGUACUUCAACCCUUGUUUUUAAGUUAUUUUUAAGUUUGUCUAUUGCUAUACCAUAUAUAUAUAUAUUCAGAAUACUUCAAGAGGUUUUAAAAACUUGAUUGUAAUUAGAUGAAAUAGUAAUAAAACAUUUGAAAAUUAUACUUGAGACUAGUUU